AGAAGUGCUUACCUGCGCUGGACCAUGUAUAAGUCUCCUGGAAUGGAGCGUCACAGAGGGUGAGAAUCCCGUCCUUGACAUGGGCUGCCAGUGUGUUGUGGUGCGCUCUCAAAGAGUCGAGUUGUUUGGGAAUGCAGCUCUAAAUGGGUGGUAAACUCCAUCUAAAGCUAAAUAUUGGCGAGAGACCGAUAGCGAACAAGUACCGUGAGGGAAAGAUGAAAAGGACUUUGGAAAGAGAGUUAAACAGUAUGUGAAAUUGUUGAAAGGGAAACGCUUGAAGUCAGUUAUGUUGGUUAGGGAUCAACCUAGCUAUUUUUUGCUGGGUGAAUUUCCUAGUCUGACAGGCCAACAUCAGUUCUGACUGCUGGAAAAGAGCAGAGGGAAUGUGGCACCUUUGGGUGUGUUAUAGCCUUUUGUCAUAUGUGGCAGUUGGGACUGAGGGAUGCAGCAUGCCGUGAGGCUGGGUUUCGACCAUGUUCAUGCUUAGGAUGUUGGCUUUUAAUGGCUUCAAUCGACCCGUCUUGAAACACGGACCAAGGAGUCUAACAUGCCUGCGAGUGUUUGGGUGGUGAAAACCCUUGUGCACAAUGAAAGUGAAAGUUGAGAUCCCUGUCAUGGGGGAGCAUCGACGCCCGGGACCUGAGCUUUUUAGCGAUGGAUCUGCCGGUAGAGCAUUGCAUGUUGGGGACCCCGAAAAGAUGGGUGAACUAU
Molecule: ribosomal RNA, 711 nt
Filed under: Amanita sp. G3137
Lineage: Eukaryota; Fungi; Basidiomycota; Agaricomycetes; Agaricales; Amanitaceae
Description: eukaryotic LSU rRNA
Rfam family: Eukaryotic large subunit ribosomal RNA
Source: RNAcentral